Molecule: long non-coding RNA, 377 nt
Filed under: Sinocyclocheilus grahami
Lineage: Eukaryota; Metazoa; Chordata; Actinopteri; Cypriniformes; Cyprinidae
Description: lncRNA (ENSSGRG00000054865.1)
Source: RNAcentral
GUGGUUACAAGACUGAGGUUAUUACUGUCAAGUCAUCAAAGGACACUGUUGAUGGACCAACCUCACCUGUCAAGACCACCACAAGGUACAGUAACUCGUUUAGCCUUGUUUAGAUUGCUGACUAAACUGAGCAAAUGUGGCUGCUUUCUUAACCCCAUAACAUGUUCAAUUCUAGCAUCAAAACUUACACCAAAGAGGAUGUUUCACCAACUAAAACAACAUUAUAUUCUGUCCGAUCCACAAAGAGCACUGAGGAUCAGCUGUUUGAUACUCUCAUACCAACAUCUAUCAAGUCAGCCAACACUAAACCUGACCGCAGGUAUGUGGUAUUUGCAUAUCUAUAAACUAGUACUGUCAAACGAUUAAUCGCGAUUAAU